This 548-nucleotide ribosomal RNA is filed under the name uncultured bacterium. RNAcentral's name for it is "bacterial SSU rRNA". It matches the Rfam family "Bacterial small subunit ribosomal RNA", at positions 355 to 896 of the family's 1533-position model. The record is from RNAcentral.
UGGGGAAUUUUGGACAAUGGGGGAAACCCUGAUCCAGCCAUGCCGCGUGUAUGAAGAAGGCCUUAGGGUUGUAAAGUACUUUUGUUAGGGAAGAAAAGCUAGUUUUUAAUAAAAAUUAGUGAUGACGGUACCUAAAGAAUAAGCACCGGCUAACUACGUGCCAGCAGCCGCGGUAAUACGUAGGGUGCAAGCGUUAAUCGGAAUUAUUGGGCGUAAAGCGAGUGCAGACGGUUACUUAAGCCAGAUGUGAAAUCCCCAAGCUUAACUUGGGACGUGCAUUUGGAACUGGGUGACUAGAGUGUGUCAGAGGGAGGUAGAAUUCCACAUGUAGCGGUGGAAUGCGUAGAGAUGUGGAGGAAUACCGAUGGCGAAGGCAGCCUCCUGGGAUAACACUGACGUUGAGGCUCGAAAGCGUGGGGAGCAAACAGGAUUAGAUACCCUGGUAGUCCGCGCCCUAAACGAUGACAAUUAGCUGUUGGGCUUUGAAAGGCUUAGUAGCGAAGCUAACGCGAGAAAUUGUCCGCCUGGGGAGUACGGUCGCAAGAUUA